Long non-coding RNA from Oreochromis aureus, 691 nucleotides. NCBI's taxonomy places the organism in Eukaryota, Metazoa, Chordata, Actinopteri, Cichliformes, Cichlidae. The record is from Ensembl.
GGCGGGGGGCAUACUGGGCUUAAGCCGGGUCAUUUUUUCAGAAGCAUGGUGUCUUUUGGAGUGUAAUUUGUUAGUUAGAUGCCUGACUGACAACUGUAUAAAACAAAAACAACACACGAAGCACAGAGCGCACCGUUGUAAAUUCCCCCUAAUUUUGGUAUGAUCCGAGCUCAGGCACCGGGCGACUGAGCACAGCAUCCAUGUGCGCGAGGGGGGAGAAGCUGCUGCCUGCGAGUUUGCUGCAGACAGAGGAGAGCUUAAGUUUGACCAGCACAAAGAGGGAGAGAGAGGAACAGAGAGGGAGAGAGAGGAACAGAGAGGGAGAUGGAGAAUGAGGACAGAACAGAGAUGGAACCAGAGCAGGCGACCUUGAUGAGAGAGACAGAGUCUGGCUGGCAGUUCUCGCUGCAGUCUACCGGUAGCGUCUCCUUUCAGGCCAGGAUAGACGAAUGUCACCGAGCAGUGACUAAGUUUGUGGUCAAAGGCUUGCACCCAUUUGCCACAGCAGAUGCCCCCGAUUUUCGCUGUCUUCCCCCCACCUGUUCCAGGUCGUCAUCUCUCUGUUUAUAUUCUCAUUAGCUGUAAACCCCGCCCACACAGUGAAAACAACAACAACAUCAGCUCCAGGACGGUCACAGCCAGUUUGAAAAUGAUGACCUUCACCUCUAUAAACAUGCACGAAUGAACAAAC